GCUAGCGUUUUUCGGAGUUACUGGGCGUAAAGCGCACGUAUGCUGAUUUGUAAGUCAGGGGUGAAAUCCCGGGGCUCAACCUCGGAACUGCCUUUGAUACUGCAAGUCUCGAGUCCGAUAGAGGUGAGUGGAAUUCCUAGUGUAGAGGUGAAAUUCGUAGAUAUUAGGAAGAACACCAGUGGCGAAGGCGGCUCACUGGAUCGGUACUGACGCUGAGGUGAGAAAGCGUGGGGAGCAAACAGG
RNAcentral lists this ribosomal RNA (243 nucleotides) under uncultured bacterium. Its description in RNAcentral is "partial 16S ribosomal RNA". It matches the Rfam family "Bacterial small subunit ribosomal RNA", at positions 534 to 776 of the family's 1533-position model. The record is from RNAcentral.